UGGGGAAUUUUGGACAAUGGGCGAAAGCCUGAUCCAGCAAUGCCGCGUGUGUGAAGAAGGCCUUCGGGUUGUAAAGCACUUUUGUCCGGAAAGAAAUCCUUGGCUCUAAUACAGCCGGGGGAUGACGGUACCGGAAGAAUAAGCACCGGCUAACUACGUGCCAGCAGCCGCGGUAAUACGUAGGGUGCAAGCGUUAAUCGGAAUUACUGGGCGUAAAGCGUGCGCAGGCGGUUUGCUAAGACCGAUGUGAAAUCCCCGGGCUCAACCUGGGAACUGCAUUGGUGACUGGCAGGCUAGAGUAUGGCAGAGGGGGGUAGAAUUCCACGUGUAGCAGUGAAAUGCGUAGAGAUGUGGAGGAAUACCGAUGGCGAAGGCAGCCCCCUGGGCCAAUACUGACGCUCAUGCACGAAAGCGUGGGGAGCAAACAGGAUU
This 432-nucleotide ribosomal RNA is filed under the name uncultured bacterium. RNAcentral describes it as "partial 16S ribosomal RNA". It matches the Rfam family "Bacterial small subunit ribosomal RNA", at positions 355 to 779 of the family's 1533-position model. The record is from RNAcentral.